RNAcentral lists this ribosomal RNA (253 nucleotides) under uncultured bacterium. RNAcentral describes it as "partial 16S ribosomal RNA". It matches the Rfam family "Bacterial small subunit ribosomal RNA", at positions 524 to 776 of the family's 1533-position model. The record is from RNAcentral.
UACAGAGGUGGCAAGCGUUGUUCGGAAUUACUGGGCGUAAAGGGCGCGUAGGCGGCCUUAUAAGUCUCGUGUGAAAGCCCUCGGCUUAACUGAGGAUCUGCACGGGAUACUGUAGGGCUCGAGUUCGGGAGAGGAAAGCGGAAUUCCGGGUGUAGCGGUGAAAUGCGUAGAUAUCCGGAGGAACACCAGUGGCGAAGGCGGCUUUCUGGACCGACACUGACGCUGAGGCGCGAAAGCUAGGGGAGCAAACGGG